AGUGAACGCUGGCGGUAGGCCUAACACAUGCAAGUCGAACGGCAGCACAGUAAGAGCUUGCUCUUACGGGUGGCGAGUGGCGGACGGGUGAGGAAUACAUCGGAAUCUACUUUUUCGUGGGGGAUAACGGAGGGAAACUUACGCUAAUACCGCAUACGACCUACGGGUGAAAGUAGGGGAUCUUCGGACCUUGCGCGACUGAAUGAGCCGAUGUCGGAUUAGCUAGUUGGCGGGGUAAAGGCCCACCAAGGCGACGAUCCGUAGCUGGUCUGAGAGGAUGAUCAGCCACACUGGAACUGAGACACGGUCCAGACUCCUACGGGAGGCAGCAGUGGGGAAUCUUGGACAAUGGGCGCAAGCCUGAUCCAGCCAUACCGCGUGAGUGAAGAAGGUCUUCGGGUCGUAAAGCCCUUUUGUUGGGAAAGAACAGCAGCAGGUUAAUCCCCCGCUGUUCUGACGGUACCUAAAGAAUAAGCACCGGCUAACUUCGUG
Molecule: ribosomal RNA, 492 nt
Filed under: uncultured bacterium
Lineage: Bacteria
Description: partial 16S ribosomal RNA
Rfam family: Bacterial small subunit ribosomal RNA
Source: RNAcentral